UACCUACGGGACGCAGCAGUGGGGAAUAUUGCACAAUGGGGGAAACCCUGAUGCAGCGACGCCGCGUGAGUGAAGAAGUAUUUCGGUACGUAAAGCUCUAUCAGCAGGGAAGAAAAUGACGGUACCUGACUAAGAAGCCCCGGCUAACUACGUGCCAGCAGCCGCGGUAAUACGUAGGGGGCAAGCGUUAUCCGGAUUUAUUGGGUUUAAAGGGUGCGCAGGCGGAUUUUUAAGUCAGCGGUCAAAUCGUGGGGCUCAACCCCAUCCAGCCGUUGAAACUGGGGAUCUAGAGUGUGCGAGGGGUA
Molecule: ribosomal RNA, 305 nt
Filed under: uncultured bacterium
Lineage: Bacteria
Description: bacterial SSU rRNA
Rfam family: Bacterial small subunit ribosomal RNA
Source: RNAcentral